RNAcentral lists this ribosomal RNA (582 nucleotides) under uncultured Cupriavidus sp. RNAcentral's name for it is "bacterial SSU rRNA". It matches the Rfam family "Bacterial small subunit ribosomal RNA", at positions 102 to 680 of the family's 1533-position model. The record is from RNAcentral. Lineage: Bacteria; Pseudomonadati; Pseudomonadota; Betaproteobacteria; Burkholderiales; Burkholderiaceae.
ACGGGUGAGUAAUACAUCGGAACGUACCCUGUUGUGGGGGAUAACUAGUCGAAAGAUUAGCUAAUACCGCAUACGACCUGAGGGUGAAAGCGGGGGACCGUAAGGCCUCGCGCAGCAGGAGCGGCCGAUGUCUGAUUAGCUAGUUGGUGGGGUAAAGGCCCACCAAGGCGACGAUCAGUAGCUGGUCUGAGAGGACGAUCAGCCACACUGGGACUGAGACACGGCCCAGACUCCUACGGGAGGCAGCAGUGGGGAAUUUUGGACAAUGGGGGCAACCCUGAUCCAGCAAUGCCGCGUGUGUGAAGAAGGCCUUCGGGUUGUAAAGCACUUUUGUCCGGAAAGAAAACGCUCUGGUUAAUACCUGGGGUGGAUGACGGUACCGGAAGAAUAAGCACCGGCUAACUACGUGCCAGCAGCCGCGGUAAUACGUAGGGUGCGAGCGUUAAUCGGAAUUACUGGGCGUAAAGCGUGCGCAGGCGGUUUUGUAAGACAGGCGUGAAAUCCCCGAGCUCAACUUGGGAAUUGCGCUUGUGACUGCAAGGCUAGAGUAUGUCAGAGGGGGGUAGAAUUCCACGUGUAGCA